ACAAGCGGUGGAGCAUGUGGUUAAUCGAAGCAACGCGAAGAACCUUACCAGGUCUUGACCAUCCCUGACAACCGAGAGAUCGGGCCGUUCCCCCUUCGGGGGGACAGGGUGACAGGUGGCGCAUGGUUGUCGUCAGCUCGUGUCGUGAGAUGUUGGGUUAAGUCCCGCAACGAGCGCAACCCUCGACCUUAGUUGCCAGCAUUCAGUUGGGCACUCUAAGGUGACUGCCGGCUAAAAGUCGGAGGAAGGUGGGGAUGACGUCAAGUCAUCAUGGUCCUUAUGUCCAGGGCUACACACGUGCUACAAUGGUAGUUACAGAGGGCAGCGAGGCCGCAAGGCGGAGCUAAUCUCAGAAAAGCUGCCACAGUUCGGAUCGAGGUCUGCAACUCGGCCUCAUGAAGCUGGAAUCGCUAGUAAUCGCGUAACAGCAUGACGCGGUGAAUACGUUCCCGGGCCUU
RNAcentral lists this ribosomal RNA (458 nucleotides) under uncultured Anoxybacillus sp. Its description in RNAcentral is "bacterial SSU rRNA". It matches the Rfam family "Bacterial small subunit ribosomal RNA", at positions 925 to 1382 of the family's 1533-position model. Lineage: Bacteria; Bacillati; Bacillota; Bacilli; Caryophanales; Anoxybacillaceae. The record is from RNAcentral.